UUCUUGAAUGUCCGUUUCUAUUUACAGAUAGAUAAAUUACUCUGUUGUGAAUAGGCUGUUCUAGCUAAAUUAUGCCUACCUUUAGUAGUGAAAUAUUAUCACAAGGGUUGCCCAAGAGUAGGACCACGGGAUAACUAGGCUCCCUUCAGUGCGGUACCUUUCUGACAGGGUCCUUGAAGCAACGCCUACUUCAAUACAAGCCUGGGCCCUAAGCUCUACGCAGAAAAAGAGAUCGCAGGCUUUCAGAGCUGGGCACUAAGGAACACACAGACCUAAUAUUCAACUGUUGCUACACGGUCUGUCCACUUUUCUGUCUGCCAGAAGGAAGUUGAGUAGCGAUCAUUCGUUCAACAUCGUUGAAUCUUCUUCAAUAUCAUCAGCUACUCUGGUCAUUGCAACGCUACGUUUAACAUUUCCCGCGCUGCAGAUGAAUCUAGCAGACGUCCUUUUGCCGCCCCUAUUCUGCCUGCAGUUCAAUUCUUCGUAAAAUUCCUCCAAUCAGCUCAGCCCGAACGAAUAUGAAAGAGAUUUACCUGACACCUACCUGGUACUAUCGAACCACUUCCAUCAAUGAGAGCGUACGACUGUUUCAAAAAAUCAACACAAAUGGGGCAAUACGUGGCAGAUAAGCGUUCAAAUAGUUUCAUUCCUCGAGGGCCUACUUUUAGUAAUAGGAUUAAUAGGUGUCACUUGAACCGAUUUUAUUCAGGCACAAACACAAAAAAUCAUUAGAGAUUGAACAUUUGAUAUACUCAGUGAGUCUGGCGGCCUUUGGUUAUUUCAAAGCAGGUUAUUCUCGUUUCCUGCUCUCGAUUGCUUUAGAGACCGAAAAGUCUGCUGUCCCUAUCCGUUGUUGAUAAAGCCGCAAGUAAUC
Varroa destructor (honeybee mite) is the source of this 874-nucleotide long non-coding RNA. RefSeq lists it as uncharacterized. The record is from RefSeq and is a predicted model, not a curated record. NCBI's taxonomy places the organism in Eukaryota, Metazoa, Arthropoda, Arachnida, Mesostigmata, Varroidae.